Molecule: ribosomal RNA, 1014 nt
Filed under: Triticum aestivum (bread wheat)
Lineage: Eukaryota; Viridiplantae; Streptophyta; Magnoliopsida; Poales; Poaceae
Description: partial small subunit ribosomal RNA
Source: RNAcentral
CGUGGAGGUGCAGAGACGGCGGAGGCCACGGUCGCGUUCGAGAUCGCCGGCUACAGCCUGCACAAGGGCCUCGGUAGAGGCAAAUACCUCCGUUCCCCGGUGUUCUCCAUCGGCGGCUACGACUGGUGCAUCUGGUACUACCCCGACGGAAAAAACGACGACUGUGAAGGUUACGUCUCUGUCUUCCUCAAGCUCCUGACCAAGAACGCAGAAGCGAGGGCGCUCUACAACUGGAUGCUUGUGGAUCUGGUUACCGGGCGGUCGAUUACGCUGCACUACGGCAAAGAGCCACUAGCGUUUAACAGUCAAAAGUCACUUUGGGGCAUACCAAAGUUCAUGAAGACCACUGUUGAAAACGAGUCGUUCUACCUGCGGAACGAUUGUCUGGUGAUCGAGUGCAAGGUCAGUGUCACCAAGGGAACAAUUGAGGUCCCUGUGCCGCCCUCCGACCUUUUGGAUAAUCUUGCAACAUUGCUAGAGGGGAAGAAAGGAGCGGACGUGACGUUCAAGGUGCAAGGGGAGGUUUUUCCAGCUCAUAAGAAUUUGCUUGCCAUGCGAUCGGCGGUCUUCGACGCGGAAUUAUACGGGCCUAUGGCGGACAAAGGGGCGCAGGACAUAACUAUUGAUGAAAUGCAGCCUGCUGUUUUCAAGGCAUUUCUUCACUUCAUCUACACGGACACAAUGCCUUCCAUGGACGAUCUUGAUGAUGAUGACAAACGAGAAAUGGUUAAGCACUUACUCGUGGCUGCAGAUAAGUAUGCGAUGGAAAGGAUGAAGAGGAUAUGUGAAGGGAUGCUAUGCAAGUGUCUUGACGUUGAGACCGUGGCGACCAUCUUAGCUCUAGCUGACCAGCAUCAUUGCAGCGACCUCAAAGAUGCUUGCAUUGAAUUUAUGCUCUCUUCGAAUAGAAUGGAUGAUGUGAUCGCAAGCCAAGGGUAUGUGCACCUCAAAAGAUCUUUUCCUGGUCUCUUUGUAGAGAUGUUUGAGAGAAGUGUCAAGUCCUGCAAAAUUUAG